GUAAACCAAGAUGGCGUCACGCGAAGAAGCAGUUACCGUUAAUUUACAGAGGAAGCAUUUUUGAGCAUUCCAGGACCCAAAAAAUAAUCUACCACAUCACACCAAAUAACACGUAAACCUAAACUCCCACUAGCACAGUGAAAACAGGAACCAUAUGAUGACUACACAGCCUACAUAAAGCAGAAACUACGUACUCUGCGGUUCACUUCCCAGAACCCGGAGGACAGCGAGUCUGCCUGCCUCCAUGUCGAGGGUCGGGAUUCACUGGCUGCUCUGGCUGCUGUGGUUGAUGUGGAAGGCUUGAGAGAGGACAUGAUGCUUGACUGCUUAGCCUCCAUAAUGGCUUGCUGCCAAACACUCAACGUACUUUCAAAAAGCAAAUCAUCUUUGGAUUUAUUUCGGUUAUGGAAAACAGGAAGAUUAGCCCUGAGCUAACUACUGCCAAUCCUCAUCUUUUUGCUGAGGAAAACUGGCCCUGAGCUAACAUCCAUGCCCAUCUUCCUCUACUUUAUACGUGGGACGCCUACCACAGCAUGGCUUUUGCCAAGCGGUGCCAUAUCCGCACGUGGGAUCUGAACCUGCAAACCCCGGGCUGCCGAGAAGCGGAACACGCAAAGUUAACUGCUGCGCCACCCAGCCGGCCCCAGAAAACUAAAUAUUUCUGAGUGCCAACGAGGUAUUAACAUUGGAGAAAGAACAAGACUAUCCACGUUAUUUUCUUCUGUUUCUGGAUACUCGAAGCAUCGUGGGAUGGUGGCCGGGAGCGGAUUGGAAGGGCACUGAAGUGAGGUGACAGGAAGCUAUUUUAUGAUAUUAAGAAUGGAAGCGGCAUAGUCAGAUUACAUUUCAGAUAGAUUACCCCAAGCAGAAGUGGGGAUAAAUGCUUGAGACAAGGAGAUCACUCAAGAAGACAUUACAAUAUUUUAGGCUAGAAUGAUGAAGGCUUGGUUAAUGGCCAGGGAUAUAGAAAGGAGGCAAUGGAUUCAAGAAAGGAGGCAAGGAUUCAAGAAACAUUUAAGACAAGGAAGUAACAAUCUGAAAUUCUAAUUAAUUUGCGUUGGAGAUUUUAAAAAAGGCUAAGUCGAGGAUGAAAUCCAGAUGUUGUGCUUAGGUGAUUGGGGAUGGCGAUACCAUUUUCUAAGAAAGAAAUCAGGAGGAAAAGCAAGCUUAAGAGAAAAAGGAAGUUCUGCUUUGGAAGUGUUUAGUUUUAAGCACCAGUGGGAUCACAAACGGAAAUGAGCAGUGGCCCUAAACAUAAGGAUGAGGAACCCAGACAAGUGGUCUGGCCUGCAGAAGAUGCCAAAUGAAUGUUGA
This 1314-nucleotide long non-coding RNA is filed under the name Equus caballus (horse). RNAcentral describes it as "lncRNA (ENSECAG00000030027.3)". Lineage: Eukaryota; Metazoa; Chordata; Mammalia; Perissodactyla; Equidae. The record is from RNAcentral.